RNAcentral lists this ribosomal RNA (928 nucleotides) under uncultured bacterium. Its description in RNAcentral is "bacterial SSU rRNA". It matches the Rfam family "Bacterial small subunit ribosomal RNA", at positions 1 to 924 of the family's 1533-position model. The record is from RNAcentral.
GCCCUUAGAGUUUGAUCCUGGCUCAGAUUGAACGCUGGCGGAAUGCCUUACACAUGCAAGUCGAACGGCAGCACGGACUUCGGUCUGGUGGCGAGUGGCGAACGGGUGAGUAAAGCGCCGGAACGUGUCCAGUAUAGGGGGAUAACGCAGCGAAAGCUGUGCUAAUACCGCAUACGCCCUGAGGGGGAAAGCUGGGGAUCUUCGGACCUGGCGAUAUUGGAGCGGCCGACGUCUGAUUAGCUAGUAGGUGGGGUAAAGGCCCACCUAGGCGACGAUCAGUAGCUGGUCUGAGAGGAUGAUCAGCCACACUGGGACUGAGACACGGCCCAGACUCCUACGGGAGGCAGCAGUGGGGAAUUUUGGACAAUGGGCGCAAGCCUGAUCCAGCCAUUCCGCGUGAGUGAAGAAGGCCUUCGGGUUGUAAAGCUCUUUCAGUGGGGAAGAAAGGACUGACGUGAAUAGCGUUGGUAGAUGACGGUACCCGCAGAAGAAGCACCGGCUAACUACGUGCCAGCAGCCGCGGUAAUACGUAGGGUGCGAGCGUUAAUCGGAAUUACUGGGCGUAAAGCGUGCGCAGGCGGUUUGACAAGUCUGAUGUGAAAGCCCCGGGCUUAACCUGGGAACUGCGUUGGAAACUGUCGAACUAGAGUGUGGCAGAGGGGGGUGGAAUUCCACGUGUAGCAGUGAAAUGCGUAGAGAUGUGGAGGAACACCGAUGGCGAAGGCAGCCCCCUGGGUCAACACUGACGCUCAGGCACGAAAGCGUGGGUAGCAAACAGGAUUAGAUACCCUGGUAGUCCACGCCCUAAACGAUGUCAACUAGUUGUUGGGAAGGGAGACCUUCUUGGUAACGCAGCUAACGCGUGAAGUUGACCGCCUGGGGAGUACGGUCGCAAGAUUAAAACUCAAAUGAAUUGACGGGGAAGGGC